CACCAUCAUUCUCACUCGUCCGAUCUCUCUACACACAGUAUCUUUGUAGGAAAUGAUGUGAUCUGGAUCUGGAAACACUCAGAAAAAUGACAAAGUUUAUCGUGCAUUCAGGCAUCUAGGCUAGCUAUAACGGAUACGUGUAUGAUUUUAUUGCUGCGUAAAGCUCCUAGGCACCCAAGAAGUGGGAAGAUAUUACCAAUAUGCUCAGGAGUCAGGACACUAAUUCUAUGAGAGGAGAAAAGAAAGAGCACGUUUUGAAAAUGCAUGGAAAACCCAUAUACAUCAGAUUGGAAGCUUCAUGACCUUGAUGGAUGACAUGAAGCAGGUAUAAGAAAUUACUCUAGCUGAUUUCUUGGCGAUUAUCAUCUCUCUCUCUCUCUCUCUUUGUUUUUUAAUGACAGGAAACCCCUUCAAGGUAGGGCUAUUUUGUGUAGUAACUCCUAUAGGAUAAACUCGGAACCCAUGCCUCGCACCCCUUUUAGGAUAUGGGCCGUUUAAUUGAGUUGCGAGCUUUGCCCAAAAGGCAAAUUGCAUGCACUCAAAGUCUCGGGCUUUCACUAACUGAGCCAACGGGUUAACUACCAUCCUUUUGCUUAACUAUUUCUAGACGACUAUUUUCAUGACCCCUCAUUCACACUUCGCAAGUGAUUUACUGUGAGAGUUUAGGAAAGAAGCACA
Molecule: long non-coding RNA, 678 nt
Organism: Alnus glutinosa
Lineage: Eukaryota; Viridiplantae; Streptophyta; Magnoliopsida; Fagales; Betulaceae
Exons: 4
Source: RefSeq, a predicted model, not a curated record